GCCUUGGCAUGUAUGAAAUUUCUGCCGAUGCGGUUGCUUCGCAUGGAUAUGAGUCGCCAGAAACGAGCAUAGCCCGUAGCCGCAGGGGCGGUAAAUGUUGCGCUUGUUGCCCGGCAAUAACACCGACUCAUGAUAUGGUUCGAUCCGCGAUACCAUUCAUUUGAGCAUCGAAUGCCCGAUAUUCCAACCUNNNUUUUGCCUCAUUCCGAUGCGAUCAAAUCAUCGAAGCAAACGAAAACCGACUAUGAAUCCGACUGU
This 258-nucleotide unclassified non-coding RNA is filed under the name Hevea brasiliensis (rubber tree). Lineage: Eukaryota; Viridiplantae; Streptophyta; Magnoliopsida; Malpighiales; Euphorbiaceae. The record is from RNAcentral.